GGAAGGAGAAGUCGUAACAAGGUUUCCGUAGGUGAACCUGCGAAAGGAUCAUUGUCGAUGCCUAAACAUCAAACGACCCGCGAACGCGUUUACAAACAAAUUGUCCGUGCCGGUGGGCGGGGGGAAGCAUUAUGCUCUCUGCGUGCCCCCUCCCCCUCGGCGCGUCUAAACCAAACCCCGGCGCAGGUCGCGCCAAGGAACUUGAAAUGAAUUUGCCUGCCCCUUGCCCCGGCCUCGGCGUGCAGGGGGUGGAGCAUUCUUGUCGUAUUAUUCACAACGACUCUCGGCAACGGAUAUCUCGGCUCUCGCAUCGAUGAAGAACGUAGCGAAAUGCGAUACUUGGUGUGAAUUGCAGAAUCCCGUGAACCAUCGAGUCUUUGAACGCAAGUUGCGCCCCAAGCCUUCUGGCCGAGGGCACGUCUGCCUGGGUGUCACAAAUCGACGUCCCCCCAUCCUCUCGAGGAUAUGGGACGGAAGCCGAUCUCCCGUGUGUUACCGCACGCGGGUUGGCCAAAAUCCGAGCUAAGGACGUCAGGAGCGUCUUGACAUGCGGUGGUGAAUUUAAUUCUCGUCAUAUAGUCAGACGUUCCGGUCCAAAAGCUCUUGAUGACCCAAAGUCCUCAACGCGACCCCAGGUCAGGCGGGAUCACCCGCUGAGUUUAAGCAUAUC
Molecule: ribosomal RNA, 670 nt
Filed under: Dioscorea collettii var. hypoglauca
Lineage: Eukaryota; Viridiplantae; Streptophyta; Magnoliopsida; Dioscoreales; Dioscoreaceae
Description: eukaryotic LSU rRNA
Rfam family: 5.8S ribosomal RNA (bases 279-434)
Source: RNAcentral